Molecule: ribosomal RNA, 221 nt
Filed under: uncultured Deferribacteres bacterium
Lineage: Bacteria; Pseudomonadati; Deferribacterota; Deferribacteres
Description: partial 16S ribosomal RNA
Rfam family: Bacterial small subunit ribosomal RNA
Source: RNAcentral
CAACGGAGGAAGUGGGGAUGACGUCAAGUCAUCAUGGCUCUUACGCCCAGGGCCGCACACGUGCUACAAUGGCCGGCACAAUGGGCUGCAAUACCGUGAGGUGGAGCCAAUCCCAAAAAACCGGUCUCAGUUCGGAUUGAAGUCUGCAACUCGACUUCAUGAAGCCGGAAUUGCUAGUAAUCGCGGAUCAGCACGCCGCGGUGAAUACGUUCCCGGGUCUU